GCUGGGAGAAGAUAGGAGCCGUGCGGCCGAGCGCCUGCGCCAGGCCCUGCCAUACCUGCGGAGCCCACAGGAGCCCCUGCGAGAGGCGGCCGUCAGGUUCAUCGGGAUCGCCGGGCGCUACCUGACAGGGCAGCAGCCAGAGUUCCGGAUCAUCUGCAUGGCCCUUCAGGACAUGACGGAUGACACCAGCCCUGCCGUCUCAUGCCUGGCACUUCAAACUCUGUACAUCAAUUUAGCUGUACAGAGCAUUCCCUCCUCCCGACUCCAGAAGAUGCGAGACCAACUCCGCCAGCUCUGGAAGUCGCGGCCUUUCCUGUUUCACCGUGGCUGAGUGUCCUGCUGUGGCGCCGUGGAGAAGUGAUCCGGGAGGCUGCGUCUGCUGGGGCCACCUGAACCUGCGGGGAACACCUCUCCUCUGCAAGCACUUCCUUUCCCACCCUCUAUAGGAACAUUAAAUUGCUGUUGUCAUA
Long non-coding RNA from Haemorhous mexicanus (house finch), 470 nucleotides. RefSeq lists it as uncharacterized. The transcript is spliced from 3 exons. Lineage: Eukaryota; Metazoa; Chordata; Aves; Passeriformes; Fringillidae. The record is from RefSeq and is a predicted model, not a curated record.